This 478-nucleotide ribosomal RNA is filed under the name uncultured bacterium. Its description in RNAcentral is "partial 16S ribosomal RNA". It matches the Rfam family "Bacterial small subunit ribosomal RNA", at positions 28 to 507 of the family's 1533-position model. The record is from RNAcentral.
GAUGAACGCUGGCGGCGUGCCUAACACAUGCAAGUCGAACGGAGUCCAGCCUUUAAGACCUUCGGGUCAAAGAGGGGAAGACUGAGUGGCGGACGGGUGAGUAACACGUGGGCAACCUGGCUCAUAGAGGGGGAUAACAGAGAGAAAUUUCUGCUAAUACCGCAUAAGCACACACUGCCGCAUGGCAGAGGGUGAAAAGAGAAUCGCUAUGAGAUGGACCCGCGUCUGAUUAGCCAGUUGGCAGGGUAAGAGCCUACCAAAGCGACGAUCAGUAGCCGAUCUGAGAGGAUGAACGGCCACAUUGGGACUGAGACACGGCCCAAACUCCUACGGGAGGCAGCAGUGGGGGAUAUUGCACAAUGGGGGGAACCCUGAUGCAGCGACGCCGCGUGAGAGAAGAAGUAUUUCGGUAUGUAAAGCUCUAUCAGCAGGGAAGAUAAUGACAGUACCUGAAUAAGAAGCCCCGGCUAACUACGUG